Molecule: long non-coding RNA, 3304 nt
Filed under: Homo sapiens (human)
Lineage: Eukaryota; Metazoa; Chordata; Mammalia; Primates; Hominidae
Description: non-protein coding lnc-VPS54-3:1
Source: RNAcentral
CUGGGAUUGCAGGCAUAUGCCACCAUGCCCAGCUAAUUUUGUGUUUUUGGUAGAGAUGGGGUUUCUCCGUGUUGGUCAGGCUGGUCUCGAACUCCCAACCUCAGGUGAUCUGCCUGCCUCAGCCUCCCAAAGUGCUGGGAUUACAGGCGUAAGCCACAGCGCCCAGCCAUGCCCUGCAUUUUUACAAAUUCCUUGGUGUUUUGAGGUGCAUCCUCCAUAGUGUGGUAAAACCUUGGCAUCAUAAAACUUUGGUUAGACAGAAAUUAAUUAGAACACUUCAUUUAAAAGAAUUUCUUUGAUGCAUCAACUUCUUUCCUCUCAGCUCCAAAUCUCUGCACUGCUCUGUUCUGUGAUGCUGGAGCUGGGCCCUGUAAACAUUUCUCCUUUGCAGCUGGCAGAAUGUUAAGCUUUGUCUACAGGGCUGGGAGGCCACUGCAGGAGGAAAGUGCUUCUCUCUUCUUUGUUCCCAUGUGAUUUUCCUUCUCUUGGGGUACUUGGCAGCCAGUGGGUGCAGGAAUCCCAAAAGUGCUCAGCUGCCCAGGGAGUCUCACAGGCAACCCGGAAGGUGGUUUCUUGCAUCCUGACGCUGACUUGCAGAACCUCGGUGAACUUCUUUACCAUCUAGGAGGUGAUAGCUACAUCCGAGUGAAGUGACUCCAGUGAAGUCAGUCUUGAAGAGAGGGCUCUUCCGAAUUUGUUCCUUCCUUGGGUACUCAGCCAUAGCCCUGGGGCAAGCAUUCUCAGUGGGGGUGAAAAUUGGUUUUUGUGGGGGUAGGGAGUGUGUGUGAAAUAAUCUUAGGUUAUUCCUCCAAAGGGCCACAGUAGACACACAGAUAUACUGUGUACCUGUAGAAUUAAGGUUUCAUGGGGAUGUAGGGACAGGUGGUGAUAAGGGGCAAAAAAUAUCUAAAAAUAUCUCCUUACAGGGGCAAAUUUCUUUUUAUAAGUUGAGAAACUCUGGUCUAGAGAGUAGCAGCUGCUCUUUAUAUCCACCAUUCUUGUAUUCUUAAGAGUUAUGUUUAUCCCUUAGUAGUUAAUCCCAUUUCUAGUUAAUAUACUUUCAAUUUUCCCUGUUGGACUUACUGUGUGAUUGUCUUCUGGCUGGACCUUGACUGAUACAGUGCACUUGACUUUUAUGGAAAAAAGGCAAAUAAUAAUUGAAAAUAUGCUAAAAUCAAAGGCUUGAAUUUUUAAAAUUCUAGGACAUUGUCUUUUUUUUGUUGUUUUUGAGAUGCAGUCUUGCUCUGUUGCCCAGGCUGGAGUGCAGUGGCAUGAUCUGGGCUCACUGCAACCUCCGCCUCCUGGGUUCAAGCGAUUCUCCUGCUUCAGCCUCCUGAGUAGCUGGGACUACAGGCACUUGCCACCACCCCCAGCUAAUUUUUGUAUUUUUAUUAGAGACGGGGUUUCACCAUGUUGGCCAGGAUGGUCUCAAUCUCUUGACCUCAUGAUCUGCCCACCUCGGCCUCCCAAAGUGCUAGGAUUACAGGCGUGAGCCACCGUGUCCAGCCCUCUAGGACAUUUUCUAUAGCCUGUAGAGCUCAAUCCCCAGCUACUUACAUCUUGCACAGUUUGGAAUGAUGACAUUGGGACCAUGACAGAUGAUGAAUGGCCAAAGUUAGGUUGCUAGUCUGUACUAGCCUUUCACUAGUACAAUGCAUUCUAUAUGGAUACUGAACACAUUUUUCGUUUAUAACUAUUUUAUAAAGUUCUUAUAAAUGCUAAGCUCCAUAAUAACAAUAAUAAUAAUAAUAAUAAUAAUCAUCAUCAUCAUCAUCAUCAUCAUAACUAACAUUUAUUGGGCACUUACUAUGUGCCAGCACUAAUCUAAGCUCUAUCACUCUGGUAACAGGGCUGCAAAUGAAUGGGAAAAAGCUGAAAAUACAUAAGCCAGGAAGCCAGUUAGGAGGUUGCUAUAAAAUUCCAGGUAUGAGAUGACAGUGGCUUGGACUAGGGUGAUAGCACGGAGAUAGCAUGCUGUUGGCUUAGUAAGGCCCAGAGCAGAAAGAGCUUUCUAUCCUCUUCAGCCACAAAACAGUCUGUAGCAGAGGGGUCAUUCAAUCCACUUACCAGAGAAACAGGGCUAGAGAAAGAAACAAAAUUUAUUUGUUAAGUUCCUAUAAUAUGGCCAGUACUGUGUUACACAACAUUAGGGGUACCAACAAUAAUCAUAUAUUUAUGAGUACCUUAUGACUUGGUGGAAGAUAUUUCACGCCAACAAGGAAUUCAAACCCAGAAUAUACAAUAGUGCUCCUUAUCUGCAGGGGAUACAUUCCAAACUUUGCCAAGUGUAUGGAUACCCUUGUAAACUCAAUUCCAUAAACCAAAGCCUAAAUACGGCCUCAUUUAUGAAACUAGAAGUGCAGUGUAAAACCAAGAAUAAAGAGAUUGCAGUGUCAGAUCAGUGACCCUAGCGUGGUUAUUUCGUUCACCAUGAAUAUUAAAACAUGAAUCUAAAGGUAACAAAAAACCUUCUAUAAUUUUAAUUUGGCUGGUUCUUUUGAAAACAUUCUUUAUAGUAUAGUUCGGUUUGUAAUUUCAUCAAGUAUUAAUCUAGGAACUCAAAAGGAAGGAAACAGAAUGCCACUUAGCCUUAGCUACAAGUAGGACCUACUCAUAAAGAAAACACACUUCAGCUCUCCCUCUUUGUUUCCUUGUUUGACUUUCUGGGAGAUGUCAUCAAUGUUCUCAUGCUUUUCUUUUCUGCUUUUAAAUUCAGUGAUUGUAUUGUAAAUUCCCAAAUGCUUUUUAAAAAUAAUUUUCUUCAGUACCCUGCAUCAUCUUGGUUUCCUCUGAGUUCCUUUCUGGUUCGUUUGUUACCUUUGAUACUGUGAGCUUUUCCCAAUUACCUGGUGAUUCUUGGGUUUUUGUUCUUUUUGUAUGUGCAUUUACAUGACAGAAAUAAACUAAAAAGAUAUAUUGGAAGGCCUUGCUGGAGUGAGGAGGACAGGUCAAAUGGUGGGUUUCACUUAUGGUGAUCGGUUGGUACACCAGCCUUUUUAUUGGCCGACUACCAAAUGUCAGUAUGAGAGAGUAAAGCAACUUAGUUUCUCCACAGAAGAAACUAAAUUCUCCCAUCUUAAGUUGCAUUUUGUGAGCAAGGUGUAGAAAUGAGUCUGACCGUCCACCGUUCAGCCAGAACAUUUAGGCUGAUGCAGCCAAGGUAAUUCAGAUUAGAUGUCUGUAACAUGUACAUCUGCAUUAAAAAAUAGUCUGAAAGUACGUAUACCAAAAUGUUAAACUAGUUAUCUCUUAGUUGUGGAUUCAUGGGUUAUUUAAAUUCUCUUUUUUUCUUAUCUAAAUUUUC